UACGAAGGGUGCUAGCGUUGUUCGGAAUCACUGGGCGUAAAGCGUGCGUAGGCGGCUUUGCAAGUCAGAGGUGAAAGCCUGGAGCUUAACUCCAGAAUUGCCUUUGAAACUGCAUCGCUAGAGUGUCGGAGGGGAUAGCGGAAUUUCUAAUGUAGCGGUGAAAUGCGUAGAUAUUAGAAGGAACACCGGUGGCGAAGGCGGCUAUCUGGACGACAACUGACGCUGAGGCACGAAAGCGUGGGGAUCAAACAGG
RNAcentral lists this ribosomal RNA (253 nucleotides) under uncultured prokaryote. Its description in RNAcentral is "partial 16S ribosomal RNA". It matches the Rfam family "Bacterial small subunit ribosomal RNA", at positions 524 to 776 of the family's 1533-position model. The record is from RNAcentral.